RNAcentral lists this ribosomal RNA (492 nucleotides) under uncultured bacterium. Its description in RNAcentral is "partial 16S ribosomal RNA". It matches the Rfam family "Bacterial small subunit ribosomal RNA", at positions 29 to 507 of the family's 1533-position model. The record is from RNAcentral.
AGUGAACGCUGGCGGUAGGCCUAACACAUGCAAGUCGGACGGCAGCACAGUAAGAGCUUGCUCUUACGGGUGGCGAGUGGCGGACGGGUGAGGAAUACAUCGGAAUCUACUUUUUCGUGGGGGAUAACGUAGGGAAACUUACGCUAAUACCGCAUACGACCUACGGGUGAAAGCAGGGGAUCUUCGGACCUUGCGCGAUUGAAUGAGCCGAUGUCGGAUUAGCUAGUUGGCGGGGUAAAGGCCCACCAAGGCGACGAUCCGUAGCUGGUCUGAGAGGAUGAUCAGCCACACUGGAACUGAGACACGGUCCAGACUCCUACGGGAGGCAGCAGUGGGGAAUAUUGGACAAUGGGCGCAAGCCUGAUCCAGCCAUACCGCGUGGGUGAAGAAGGCCUUCGGGUUGUAAAGCCCUUUUGUUGGGAAAGAAAAGCAGCAGGUUAAUACCCCGCUGUUCUGACGGUACCCAAAGAAUAAGCACCGGCUAACUUCGUU